This 1466-nucleotide long non-coding RNA is filed under the name Erythranthe guttata (spotted monkey flower). RNAcentral's name for it is "long non-coding RNA (EGUT_LNC001594)". Lineage: Eukaryota; Viridiplantae; Streptophyta; Magnoliopsida; Lamiales; Phrymaceae. The record is from RNAcentral.
CCUGAAGAUCUCCACCACCGCCUAAGGCCGCCUCCUGAACCUCCACCGCCGAGGUCUGCUCUUCUCUUCCGAUCAUAUGUUUAUGUAUAUAUAUAUAUAUAUAUAUAUAUAUAUAUAUAUAUAUAUAUAUAUAUAUAUAUAUAUGGUUUCUCUUUUCCAUCUUUUUUUUCUUGAUUUAAUUUAUUUCUGUUCUUGAUAUAUAGUUGAUAUAUAUGGAUUUAAAAUGUUUUUUUUUUGUUCUUCAUGUUGUAUUUGUGGUGAUGAAAUAAGAUCUUAAUAACUAAUCUAUUUUUUAUUUUUCUUACCUUUUUUUCUUUUAAUAUUUUUUACUGAUUUUGGCCCGUUGAUACAGAUCUGAAAUUUUUAAACCUAUUAAUGAUAUAUAUCAUAUAUAAUAAGAUCUGUUUAACAGUAUUUAUAUUGGAUCUGGUAUGAAGAUAUAUUUCUCAAUUAGUUUGUUGCAUGCGAAAGUUCAUUGGAUUGAAUUUAUUUAUUCCAUACAGUUGAUAUAUAUGGAUUUAAUUAAGAUGUUCGAUUUUCGGAUUUAUGGACGAAGUUUACAACCUCUCUUUUCUUUUCUGGUUUUUUGGCAAAUAGAUGAAGGAGAAGCAUAUCGAACAAUAUUCUUGUCAGCGACAUAACGGUAAAAUCAAUUUUCUUUCACCAAAUAUCUCACAAAUUAAAGUUACCUUUCUUUUUUAUUGCAUCAAUUGUUUCUUUAUAUUUUUUAACAAAAAAAAAAAGAAAUAAUUCAUUAUGUACAAAGUUUAUGAACUGACCACGCUCGUGUUUUUUGUUGUUGUUGACCAACCGGUGAAUUCCAGAACUGUUUCAUUAGUGGAGCAUUGGUGGUGUUGGAGGGGUGGAAAAGGUUGAUAAUACUUCAAGAAAUGAUCUGAUGAUUUUUUCUCGAAAGCUCAAUCAGUUACUUUUUAAGGGAGUAUAAAAAAGGUGUUUCGUGUUUUUAUAGAUGUUUUUCGGCAUUCUAUAUGCGCAUUCAAGGCUUCAAAUCAAUUGUUUCACCACCCCCUCGAAACAUGGCCGCUAUGAAAUUAUUAGUGAAUCUGCGUUCAUUCUCAUGUUCCAGUGUGGUAAAGAAGGUAGCUGCCGCUGCUCCUUCCUUCUGUCGUCUAGUGCUUAAUUUUUCACCAACAAAACAAAGCAGAGCUUGAAGGAAGAAAUGACGAUAAAAUUUAAAAUACCUUACUGCAACGGACGCCCCCAUAGAAGCUACCAAGCGAGUCCAAAAUGCCGGGCCGAAUUCCACAAAGACGAAUCAGAUCAUCCACCUCAUAAUCAACACUGAUCUCCCUCGUUGGUAUGUGUCAAAAUGGUAAAAAUGAAGACGGAAUUCUGGAGCCUCCGGCUAUGGAAAUACAUAUGAGAUUGGUUAAUGGUUCUUAAUGCGGAUCUACAUUCAUAUGAAUAUUAUUUGGUUUUGUUUUGUUGCUACCUUUUGUUUUCCU